Molecule: ribosomal RNA, 878 nt
Filed under: Plasmodium reichenowi
Lineage: Eukaryota; Apicomplexa; Aconoidasida; Haemosporida; Plasmodiidae
Source: RNAcentral
GAUACUAUUUUUUUAGUAUUACGGUACUCCUAUUUUUAUUGUACUGAAGGCAAGUUAUUUUCAUGUCCUACUCAUCUAUAUCGCAACCUACUUUUAUAUAUAUUUUUUUUUAGGAAAAAGUAUGUGUAAAAGAAAAAGCAAUUUAAUACAAUCUGUCUCAGGCGUUGUAAUUUUUUUAUGACGUUUAAAUAGUAUUGACACUAAUGUCGCGAAGGAAAAACGUAAAAUUGUAAUAUAUUUUAUAUUUUUUAAAUAGGCUUUUUUCUUAUUUAUAAGAAAAGCUUGUUUAUACAUAUAGGUUGUUUUAUAUACUUUUUCGUGAAGAAAAGUAUAUAUAUAUAUCUAUAUGUCCUGUACUAUGUAUCACUGAGAUAUAACAGUUGUAUAUUAAAAAAUUGGGUUAUAUGUAUAAAGCAUAUAAUUAAAAUAUUAAGAGUUAUGAAGAAUGCAUACAAUAAUAUUAUAUAUAUAUUAUUGCUUCAUAAUAUCUGAACAACUUUUGUUAGGAAGUGUACAUAUAGAUCUAGCUAGUUGUACCUCACGUUCUCGCUUAGAGGAUUAUUUGAAAGACAGAAAGGCCUUAUACAAUAAUGUUAUAUUUAAUUAUGGCAUUAGCUUUUUAGCACGUAUAAGCUCUUACAUAGGAUAUUUCGGUAUGGACGAUCCUUUGACCACUAGUCGUUUUUGUUUGGUGAACCCACACACUCACGUCAGUUCUUGGUGACCCUGUAUCGAUCUUGUCACUAUGAAUAGAUACAUUGCCUUUUUGUGGCUAUAUAUAUAUAUAUAUAUAUAUAUAUGUAUGUAUGUAUGUAUGUCAACAUAAGAUGUAUCUAUUGAGAGGGACUUUAAGAAAAUAUACAGCCAGAGGAUAAAAA